RNAcentral lists this non-coding RNA (24 nucleotides) under Arabidopsis thaliana (thale cress). The record is from RNAcentral. Lineage: Eukaryota; Viridiplantae; Streptophyta; Magnoliopsida; Brassicales; Brassicaceae.
UUGUCAUAGUGCCUCUCUGCUCUC